Molecule: ribosomal RNA, 397 nt
Filed under: uncultured bacterium
Lineage: Bacteria
Description: bacterial SSU rRNA
Rfam family: Bacterial small subunit ribosomal RNA
Source: RNAcentral
AUUGAACGCUGGCGGCAUGCCUAACACAUGCAAGUCGAACGGCAGCACGGCAGUAGCAAUACUGUGGGUGGCGAGUGGCGGACGGGUGAGGAAUACGUCGGAAUCUGCCCAGUCGUGGGGGAUAACUAGCCGAAAGGUUAGCUAAUACCGCAUACGACCGAGAGGUGAAAGCGGGGGACCGGCAAGGCCUCGCGCGAUUGGAUGAGCCGACGUCGGAUUAGCUAGUUGGUGGGGUAAAGGCCCACCAAGGCGACGAUCCGUAGCUGGUCUGAGAGGAUGAUCAGCCACACUGGAACUGAGACACGGUCCAGACUCCUACGGGAGGCAGCAGUGGGGAAUAUUGGACAAUGGGCGCAAGCCUGAUCCAGCAAUGCCGCGUGUGUGAAGAAGGCCUCGG